This 898-nucleotide ribosomal RNA is filed under the name Clostridioides difficile. RNAcentral's name for it is "partial 23S ribosomal RNA". It matches the Rfam family "Bacterial large subunit ribosomal RNA", at positions 1799 to 2695 of the family's 2925-position model. Lineage: Bacteria; Bacillati; Bacillota; Clostridia; Peptostreptococcales; Peptostreptococcaceae. The record is from RNAcentral.
ACUGUUUACCAAAAACAUAGGUUUCUGCUAAGUCGCAAGACGAUGUAUAGGAGCUGACGCCUGCCCGGUGCUGGAAGGUUAAGGGGAUCUGUUAGAGCAAUCGAAGCAGUGAACUUAAGCCCCAGUAAACGGCGGCCGUAACUAUAACGGUCCUAAGGUAGCGAAAUUCCUUGUCGGGUAAGUUCCGACCCGCACGAAAGGCGUAACGAUUUGGGCACUGUCUCAACAACAGACUCGGUGAAAUUGUAAUUCCGGUGAAGAUGCCGGAUACCUGCGACAGGACGGAAAGACCCCAUGGAGCUUUACUGUAGCUUGACAUUGGGUCUUGGUACUACAUGUACAGGAUAGGUGGGAGGCUUUGAAACCAGGACGCCAGUUUUGGCGGAGCCAUCCUUGGGAUACCACCCUUGUAGUACUGGGACUCUAACCAUAGGCCAUGAAUCUGGUCUUGGGACACUGUCAGGUGGGCAGUUUGACUGGGGCGGUCGCCUCCCAAAAGGUAACGGAGGCGCUCAAAGGUUCUCUCAGUACGGUCGGAAAUCGUACGUAGAGUGUAAAGGCAAAAGAGAGCUUGAUUGCAAGACAUACAGGUCGAGCAAGGAUGAAAAUCGGACUUAGUGAUCCGGUGGUUCUGCGUGGAAGGGCCAUCGCUCAACGGAUAAAAGCUACCCUGGGGAUAACAGGCUUAUCUCCCCCAAGAGUCCACAUCGACGGGGAGGUUUGGCACCUCGAUGUCGGCUCAUCACAUCCUGGGGCUGUAGUAGGUCCCAAGGGUUGGGCUGUUCGCCCAUUAAAGUGGUACGCGAGCUGGGUUCAGAACGUCGUGAGACAGUUCGGUCCCUAUCCGUCGCAGGCGUAGGAAAUUUGAGAAGACCUGUCCUUAGUACGAGAGGACCGG